GUUUGCAGAUUAGAUUCACAUGAAGACUUAGCUCCCUCUCUGCUCCUGCUAAGUCUAAGGAAUGCAAAUUUUGCCUUUGCAAAAAUUAACAUCAUGCUCCUAGCAAGAAAGCAGGUGACAAGCUCAGCAGCUCUGCUUCAGUUUGUUUUUCUCCAUGGCAGGAACAUGUGCCCCUGAGUGGGCACUGUUAGUGGAAUCGGUAGGAACGCAAAUGCAAAGGCAGGGAGAUAAAGGUGAGUCAGGAAGGAGAAAGCGGCACUUGGGGGCAGAACAGAACACCAAAAAAGCCAGGUGAUGGAAACAAGGCAAACCAUCAUUAGCCCAAGUUAACAGAAGCAAGUUGACUCAUGCAGCCGUGGGAAAAGCUAAGGUUGCUUGCAUGGACAUGGUGAGUCAUCUAAUGUGUAAGUCAAGCUACCAGCUAUAAUUAAUCUUGUACGUGGACACAAAGUCGAGUAUUUUGAACAUGAGCUAAUGAGAUUGACCUGUAGGAUCAUGCAGCUCUAACAGCUGAGUAGGCAAAUCAAGGAUAAAGGAAAAAGCUGGGGGUGCCCUUGGGCAGUCCCUUUCUUUGUGGCCUGUGCAUUUGCCUGUGUGGUGCUCUCUGUGGGAUGCAGGCUGAGCUGGAUGAAAUUUGCCCCACCCACGCUGCCCUCAAGUUGCUCCUUAUUUAUAGUACUAUUCCAGGAGGAUGUCUUCUGCAGUACAAGUACGUGAGAAGAAAGCUGUCUGUGACGAGACGGGCCCUCACUCUGAAUCUGCCAGUGCCUUGAUCUUGGCCUUCCCAGCCUCCGGAAUUAAAUCCAUCAGCUCAUUUGAUAUGUUAUUUGACUUCUGAGAUACCACCAGCAAUAAUUCUGAGGAUGUUGUACCAUUGGAUAACAUCAGCUACCAUCUAUCAUCUAAUGACAAUUUCCUUUCCAUAACUGUCGGGGUCCGGCACGUCUGCCAGGGGACUACCGACCUGCGGGAGUCCCCGAGACCGCCAACAUAGAUGUCUCGUUCAACCUGAGAGAGAGAGUGUGUGGAAAAGAAAGAACAUAGAAAAGUAGAGUCUGGAGGGCUGCAUGAAGAUUAUGGCCAAAACGCAGCAAAUUUAUUUUUGUGGGUUACAGCUUUUAUACCUUUUGUCUUGUUUACAUUUACCUUAUCUCAGCAGAAAGAAACAAAGGGGAAGACAGAAAGGAAACAGAAACUCCAUAAAAUAGUUAUCAGGGGCUUGUGAUAUCCUGCUCAGAAGGCAGUUUAAGGGGGCUAGUGGUAGUAGUUUACAUUUCAAUGAUUUUACAUUUCAAAGAUACAAUGGCGCCCUUAAGGUGGCUAGUUAAACCUGUUUUUCAUCAGGAGCUAAAACAAAGGCUUGGCUCCAGGGAAAAUAUGGGCAGAGGUCUCUGCUCCUCUUAGGCAUUUCAAUUGCAGCAAGUUUAUUGCUUACACAGAGACUGAAGGGGGACAUGGAAACAGACAGCACAAUGUCCUCAUAAACUGCAGGCCUUUGCUUUGCAUUCUGUUGUUGCUUUUAGUGAGUCAGCUCACGGCCCUGUCUCACUUGACAGCCCUCGAGGUGAGGAAAUGCAGUACAGGUCCAGCAGCCAAACUGGGGCAAGUCAACUAGCUGUCUCGAGCCCUUGGCGCGAACACCACACGUAACUGCCUGGCUCUGAGAGCCAAUGCCCUGUAUUUUAAGUUUUCUUUGUUGGUUGGUUUUUCUUUGUUUUUGGUAGUACUCCAUUUCUGGUGGCAAUUUUGUAUUAUGUAGCAUUUACUAUGACAUGCUGUUGUAACAACCAAUCUAAAAGCCUCAGUAAUGUAUAGCAAUCAAGUUUUAUUGUUCAGUUACCUUACCUAUUGGCUGUGGGUGAGCUGUGGUUCUGCUCUUGUGUUUUCUCGUUCUCAGAUCCAGGCUAAGUCCAGCUUUUCACUGAAUUUGCCAAUUACAUAACAGAAAAUAGCAAUGGCCAAUGUAUUCAAUUGGCUUUUAAAACUUCAGCUCUAAAGUAACACAUAUCACUUCCCCUCAUAUUCACUGCAAAAGCAAAUCAAAUGGACAAACCAUGGCCCCAUGAUGUCAAUGUGGCAGAGAAGUACAAUAUAAUCCUCACACAGGGAAGGCAACAAACAAUUGGGAACAAUAGUAUAAUCUACCACAGCAUUUCAUCAUUUAGAAUAUUUGCUAUUGCUUUCCAUGCAUAAUCUUUAUCAUGAAGUGUGUACAUGUGUGUGCAUGUAUAUUUUAAAAGAUAAUUGCUGAGUUUAUCCAAACUCUUCACACUAUCUAAUGAUAUAAAACAGUUGUCCACUUUUAUUGAUACAAUAUUUAUAAUUUUUCCUAUACUUAACUACUCUUGAAUUUCUAAAAUACACUAUACUCAGUAAGUGUGGAUUAUUCUCUUGGUAACCCAGUGAAUUCUAUUUAAUAAAGUAUAACAUUUUUGCUUCUAUAUUAAAUAUAUAGAAGCAAUUUUUGCUUCAUUUUUCUAGUAUGAUUGGUUGGUAAUGUUCUUUUCUGGUUCAGUUCCAGUUUAGUUAUUAAAUUAUGGUAGUUUCAUAUGAAUUGGGAAAUUUUUAAUCUUUACUUGUAUAAAUUACAAUUUACCAGAAUUCUCUAUUCUUAAAGCUACAACUCAGGUUUGAAACUACCUGAUCCUGAGGACUCUAACGUAAUAGCGUAUUAACUAUCUAUUCCAACCUUUUGGUGGCAAAUGAACUCUUAAAGUUUUCUACUCCUUGGGUCACUUUUGAGAACUUAACAUUUAUAAGAGAAUCCUUUACUAUAGGUUUUCAAAUUUAUUGUCAAAGAGUUGCACAUACAUUUUAUUAUAAUAUGUUUUAUUUUGAGAGCUUGUUUGGAGGUUCAAGCAGGGAGCGCAGUUACUCAUAUACCCUUGACCAAAGUCCUUCUCUAUCAGGGAUGGUCAACCUCUUCGACUGAGCAUGCAGCUUCAGGAGGAAAUCACAUGUAGUAGUGAGGAAGGAAUGGGACACCUGCCUAGCCAGCCAGAUCAGCAACC
This 3011-nucleotide long non-coding RNA is filed under the name Callithrix jacchus (white-tufted-ear marmoset). Its description in RNAcentral is "lncRNA (ENSCJAG00000053212.2)". The record is from RNAcentral. Lineage: Eukaryota; Metazoa; Chordata; Mammalia; Primates; Cebidae.